RNAcentral lists this unclassified non-coding RNA (169 nucleotides) under Strelitziana africana. Its description in RNAcentral is "sequence contains ITS2". The record is from RNAcentral. RNAcentral also lists the same sequence under 2 other names. Lineage: Eukaryota; Fungi; Ascomycota; Eurotiomycetes; Chaetothyriales; Trichomeriaceae.
UCCUCUCUCCCAACCUUUGGUCGGGGCGUUGGAUCGAGUUGUGGUCUCGUCCGCAACUGGUCUCAAAGACAAUGACGGCGUCCGUGGGACCCUCUUCGCAACGAGUCUUUCGAGGCACGCGGGGAGUUGCAAGGUCUCGUCGGGUCGGUCGACACCUUUAUUUUUUCUA